This 497-nucleotide ribosomal RNA is filed under the name uncultured bacterium. RNAcentral describes it as "partial 16S ribosomal RNA". It matches the Rfam family "Bacterial small subunit ribosomal RNA", at positions 29 to 523 of the family's 1533-position model. The record is from RNAcentral.
AUUGAACGCUGGCGGCAUGCCUUACACAUGCAAGUCGAACGGUAACGCGGGGCAACCUGGCGACGAGUGGCGAACGGGUGAGUAUAUAUCGGAACGUGCCCAGUAGUGGGGGAUAGCCCGGCGAAAGCCGGAUUAAUACCGCAUACGACCUACGGGUGAAAGCGGGGGAUCGCAAGACCUCGCGCUAUUGGAGCGGCCGAUAUCAGAUUAGCUAGGUGGUGGGGUAAAAGCCUACCAAGGCGACGAUCUGUAGCUGGUCUGAGAGGACGACCAGCCACACUGGGACUGAGACACGGCCCAGACUCCUACGGGAGGCAGCAGUGGGGAAUUUUGGACAAUGGGCGCAAGCCUGAUCCAGCCAUGCCGCGUGUGGGAAGAAGGCCUUCGGGUUGUAAACCACUUUUGUCAGGGAAGAAACGGUCUGGUCUAAUAAACCGGACUAAUGACGGUACCUGAAGAAUAAGCACCGGCUAACUACGUGCCAGCCGCCGCCGUAA